AUGAUUACAAAUAAUUCAAUAUUCUUUAAAAUAAAAUUGUUUUUUUAUAUUAAUAUUUAAAUCAUUUUCUUUGAAAAUCGAUACAAUGGAUUCUUCACUCUGAAAAUUAAGAACUCAUAAUAAUAGACAAACCACAAACAAUGUUGGACAUGAAUUUGAAGGUGUGAUUAUAGCUUGUGUAAUUUAUAAUGAAAUUUAACCUAUUGGUGAUCAAUAAAUUAACAAUUUUGGAUGACAAGUGGUAAAUUAUUACGACAAAAAAUCUAUAUUUGUCAAAAGCAGACAUAGAAUUUUUCAGCAAAAACUACUUAUGGAUUUUAGCAUCUAAAAAAUGGAUUUUUAAAGCUGGUAUUCAACUUGAGAGAAUAUUAAACCAAAUGUUUAUUGAUGGUUUUUAACAAUAAUAAUAGACAAAGAUGUCCUACGGCUGUUGUUGAAGAAAAGAAAAACAAAUACUAUGCAAAACCUGUGGUGAAUCUUAACAGAAAAAUACCUCAUAUUCUGCCAAAAUAAGAAAAAGCCAUUAGAAGUUCAGAUUACUUAAAUGAAGCUCUAAACCCACAAGAAGAAAACUAGUUGAAGCUGUGUACUACGAAUAAAAAAUAGUUAUAAUAAUUAUAGUUUGUUAAUACUAUUUUAAAAAAAAAAUAA
Melanaphis sacchari is the source of this 651-nucleotide long non-coding RNA. RefSeq lists it as uncharacterized. The record is from RefSeq and is a predicted model, not a curated record. The transcript has 4 exons. NCBI's taxonomy places the organism in Eukaryota, Metazoa, Arthropoda, Insecta, Hemiptera, Aphididae.